UGAGUUCUAAACUCCAAACCUUUGUGAACAUACCAUUGUUGCUUCGGCGGGUUCGUCCCGGGCGCGCCUUCUGGCGUGACCCGGAAUCAGGCGCCCGCCGGGGGAUCUAAACUCUUGUUUUCUAGAGAUUAUCUGAGUGGCGUAAGCAAAUAAAUCAAAACUUUCAGCAACGGAUCUCUUGGUUCUGGCAUCGAUGAAGAACGCAGCGAAAUGCGAUAAGUAAUGUGAAUUGCAGAAUUCAGUGAAUCAUCGAAUCUUUGAACGCACAUUGCGCUCGCCAGUAUUCUGGCGAGCAUGCCUGUCCGAGCGUCAUUUCAACCCUCAGGCCCCGUUCGCGGGAUCUGGUGUUGGGGAUCGGCCGUCCUACGCGGCGGCCGGCCCUGAAAUGGAGUGGCGGUCUCGUCGCGACCUCCUCUGUGUAGUAGUUAUACCUCGCAGCUGGAUAGCGGCGCGGCCACGCCGUAAAACCCCCUACUUCUCAAGGUUGACCUCGGAUCAGAUAGGAAUACCCGCUGAACUUAAGCAUAUCAAUAAGCGGAGGA
This 542-nucleotide unclassified non-coding RNA is filed under the name uncultured fungus. RNAcentral describes it as "sequence contains ITS1, 5.8S rRNA gene". The stretch from base 159 to 312 matches the Rfam family "5.8S ribosomal RNA". The record is from RNAcentral. Lineage: Eukaryota; Fungi.